GGAAGGGUCGCAUAGUUGGCCUAGUGCGCGCGACUGGAAAUCGCGUAGGCGGUAAAACGCCUCGAGGGUUCGAAUCCCUCCCCUUCCGCCA
RNAcentral lists this transfer RNA (91 nucleotides) under uncultured Thermomicrobiales bacterium. Its description in RNAcentral is "tRNA-Ser-GGA". It matches the Rfam family "tRNA". Rfam says of the family: Transfer RNA (tRNA) molecules are approximately 80 nucleotides in length. Their secondary structure includes four short double-helical elements and three loops (D, anti-codon, and T loops). Further hydrogen bonds mediate the characteristic L-shaped molecular structure. tRNAs have two regions of fundamental functional importance: the anti-codon, which is responsible for specific mRNA codon recognition, and the 3' end, to which the tRNAs corresponding amino acid is attached (by aminoacyl-tRNA synthetases). tRNAs cope with the degeneracy of the genetic code in two manners: having more than one tRNA (with a specific anti-codon) for a particular amino acid; and 'wobble' base-pairing, i.e. permitting non-standard base-pairing at the 3rd anti-codon position. The record is from RNAcentral. Lineage: Bacteria; Pseudomonadati; Thermomicrobiota; Thermomicrobia; Thermomicrobiales.